UAUUUCAAAUAUUUCUCGUUUAAAAAUCAGUUAAGAAGAUAAAUUUUCAUUCAAAACGAUUUAAUAAAAUAAUCGUUUUUCUAUUACUUUCGUAGUUCUAAUAAUCUAAUAAUAAAUCGCUCUUGAACAUCGAAAAGUUUCUACUUUUGAAAUUAAGUUAGUUUGUACUUGUUAUAAUAUUUCAAUAUUUAUAUAUUAAUAUUUCAAUAUUUCGUUACUAAAAAGCAAAAGAAUUAACAAUGAAAUUUAAUUAAGAAUUCUUCGUCACCCAUUGGUAUGAGUUUUUUAAAACUAUUAUGUUAAACGAAUCAGAGGAUGUAGUAUUUUCCGCUAUGUCGUACGUGGCUGUUGCAUUUUAAUGAAUUCCAGAAUUAUACAACCCUGGUGCAUGAAUACGACACACACGAUAAGGAAAACUCGGUCGUAAGGAAAACAAUGAGUUCAUUUGGAAAUUGCUUCAAAAGACCAACAAAUCGCAUUAGUAAAAAUCAUUAACAGAUUUAAUGUCUCUUAUUCGGUAUAAAAAACAUUUAUACAUGGAUCAUUUUCAUACAGAUACAUUUUUCCAUUAUAUCAUAUAUUUUACAAAUUAUUAAAAUUUCUUACAAUUCAAUGAUAAAUCAAUUUUCAAAAAAAAAACACUGAUAUAAGUUCAUUAAUCUUGACAAAUUAAAUCGAAUAAAAAAAUUUACAAUUAUUAUUAUAUAAUAAAGUAUAAGAUCAUAAAAAAUUGAAAAUUAUAAUUUCAAAUAUUAUAUUUUAUUACUUAUAAUUAAAACAUAAACGCAAUAUCUAAAAAUUCAAUUUAUUACAUCUAAUAAUAACAGUAAACUUCUUAAAAAAUAAAAAUACAGCAACAAUAUGAAUAAACCCGAACAAGAAAAAUCAUCACAUAAGAUAAAACUUUAAAUACUUAAAUAUAAUUUUCAAUUACUGGUACAAUUAAAUAAUCUAAAUUUCAUCUUACACAAUUUCAAAUAACAUAUAUUUCAAGCACCAAAGGAGAGCAAGGAAAGAAUAAAGAAUAGAAAUAAUUUACCACUCACAGUCGUCAUUUACAACAAUAAAGAAUCAAAAACCAAUCUCAAAUACGUCUCAAAUGUACGCAAUUAACGACACUGAGAGAACAAAUGACGAAACAAUAUUCGAGGAAAAGAAAAAUAACCUGUCUGAGAAUCUGUUGAUCGAGGCAAAAGGAUUCGAAACACGAUUGCUCGAUGGAAAUCGAUCGGAGAACCGUAGUCACGGGCAAAUAGAGCUGAAUUGAAUCAGAUCGGUGCACGUGUGACGAUAUUAAUGUACCAAUCGAUGGCCUAAUGAAGAUAUAUCCAGUUCCUGGCAAUUUCUACUAGACCUGCGAAAUCCUAGCAGAAGGGACCUUGAAUUCUCGCGAACAGCCGGUCAAUGGAUUGCACGACCAAUAACUUCCCCGGGAUAAACGCGAUGCACUGGCUUUGAGAUCGCGUGUGUAUUAAUCUGCCGAUAAAAUAUCGCGGGGAUUUUUCUGUUUUUUCCUCCUCUGUGUUUUUUUUUCUUUUAUUUUUUCUUUUUUUCUUUUUUUAUUUUUUUUUCUCCUCUUUUUGUUUUGUUUGGUUUUUUUUUAACUCGUACCUCGCAUCGGGAGAAGGGUUCAUGAAGUCCGAUUGAAACACAAAAAAUCGAAAAGUUACGCGAAAGUGGAACACACUUCUUGUUAUGGCAAAAAAAAAAAAAACAUAAAGAAAUAAAUAAAAGUUUAUGAACAUUCAUAUAUCGUUGAUAAAAUGGAAAACGAUACGAAAUUUUAUAUGUAAAAUUUUUUUUUGUUUUUUUUCUGUUUUUUUUUUUGACUUCAUUGUAGCGUGAAGAAAUUUGAUGUUUCUGCGUUGGAAUGGAGAACUUUAUUCGAUAGGUUCAAAAAUAUUCCUGUUGGGGAAAUAAUUGUAUUUUUAGAUUAUGAAUAUGGAGGAAUGUUGGAUCGAUUUUCACGUGGAAAAGCUGUGUAUAUAUGCUGUAUAUGAUCUAUGUAAGAAUAUCUUUUAGGAAAGGAUUAUUUAGGAAGGGAUUAUCGCCAUGACGAUUCAAAAGGACCGAAGAAAUAAUUAUUUUUUAUUCGAAUGUAUAUUUUAUCUUACUUUUUUCGAUAUAAUUUUAUGCAAAUUUAAAAUAAGAUUCAACUUUAUGAGAUAUCUUGGAAAGAAUAAGAACGGAAAUGUGCAUCAAUGGCGUCGAUCCGACGGCACGCGUUUUUCCAGCGUUCAAUUCAAUAUUAUUGCGCUCAUUUGUCAAAAAAUAUAUAAUAUAAGGUCAGUAUGAUUAUUAAUUACUUACCAAUUCUUAUUUCUUUAAAGAAUUUGAUCCUUUAAAAAAAUAUAUAAAAUAAUUCGAUCUGUAGAUAUAAAAAAUACAAAGCAAUAUGUAUUUAAUCUAGAGAAAUAACAAAAAAUGAAAGAUUUAUUUACUAUUUAAAUAAACAUCAAAUAUUUCAUAAACAUAAUAAAUAAUAUUCUCAGGAAUUAGCUCGAAAAAUUCGCAAAACUAAUCUAUUACAAAAAUUCGAAAUAAAUUAAAGAAAUUAAUCAUAUAUCGAUCUCUCAUUGGUAAUUUACAAAAAGAAGAUUUUUACAUGUUUUUUCAUAAUCUAUACAACGUUCCUAUAUAGCAUAACAAAUUUUCCAAUCGGCCAAAAAUAUGAAUCGCUUUUUUUUUCACCACAAUACUCGAACAAACAGUAUGUUUAUUAUUAACAAUAAUCACACGGCGAAUUUAGCAUAUUGCUUGCACGCCUGUGCACACAAAACGCGAAUGCACCCUUUGUCCUUCCGCGUCAUUUUGAAUAAAUAAAUCUUCAAUGGACAUCGGUCGAAACUAUGAUAAAAUUUCUACAAAGAAUCUAAAACAAAAGUCUCCGAACAAUGUCCGAUCCUCCGAGAGAAAAUUUCCUCCGAGAUCAUUAUCAUCCUAACCGUCUAAAAAUCUAUCUAUCCCAGAUAAAAAAAAAGAAAAGAAAAGAAAUAUCGAUCGCUAAAAAAGAAUAAUCAUACAUCGCAACACGAUGAAUCAAAUAAUUGAACAGAAAUUUAAACAACGAAUGAACGGUCCACGAGUAAAAUUGUCUCGUUAGCCGCCACUUACCAAAGAGACUUUUAAUUUAUCUAAUUUCUGUGAAAUCAGGAAUAAAUAACUGAUUUAAGGAUAAUCCGGAAACGAUGGUAGGCCUUACAAGAAGGGAUGAGAGGGAGGGAAAAGUAUAAUUCAGCCUCGACAAGCCGUUGUUAUCAAUAACAUUUUUGCAGAGGCCGUAAUAUCCCGGGAAAGUAAUUAGAGUAAAUUCAGGGGCUCCCGGCCGACCCUUCCAGCCGCACAAAAUGGCGGCGGGAACCGCCCUUGCGAAAAAAAUUAGGCCUCCUUCCGCUGCGCAGUAAAAUUUACAUGAAAAAAAGGAACGCCCAGUGGCUUUCGGGAAACGAAGCUUCGACAAUGCGAAUCGUUCUCUCCUUCUAUUUCCCUCCUUUUCCCUUCCACCCGCGUUUCUCCUUCUUUUUUCCCUCCUUCCUCCGCUUCCCCCUUUUCUUUCCUUUCUUUUUUCAUCUUUUUUCUUUUUUUUCCUCCCCCCUCCCCGCCUUCCUUUUUUCCCCCGUGUUUUUUAAUGGGUAAAUCGAAGGGAGUUCCCCGCUGCCGGGGAAAUACCUGUAAUUUAUGUGUAGGAAAUGGAAAAAAUAUGGUAAAAGGUCACGUUCGCCGGUGGACUUUAAAAACGAUUAGAAUCUUAAUAUCCGUCGUAAAAUACGGACCCGGGCAUUAUCAGCCGAGAAUGUAUUUGUCUUUAGCGCCAAUAUACCGUCAGGAUCUUGCCAAUAUUGAUGCCUUCCCUGUUUACUUCUUUUUUUUUUCCUCCUCCCCUUUUUUUUCUUUUAUCACAUUCCAGGAGAAUAUGAUCCAUUUCUGAAAAUUUGUCUCUCGUCACGUCUUUUUAAUCGUGAUAUAAAUAUUUUGUUUCUUGUCACACUGUUGUUGGGAACGGUUUAUCGAUUUUGAUUUCUUAAUUUCCACUGAUUCAGGUAAAUAUUAACUUUCGAGGUUGCACGAGAAGCACGAUUCUCUCAACAUGAUUUUAUAAUGGAUUAUAAGGAGAAGAGGAAUUUCCCAUUGGAAAGAUUAAAGAAUCGAUCCACGCCGUCUGUCGUGCAAAUUGUCGCAAAUGAAAAUUAAUAGAAGGAAGAGCGGAAUUCGAAACGCUUUUUUCUGUUGUUUCUCAUUUGAGAAAAUUUGAAAUUUUAAUACCUUAACUACCCCUUGUGCAAACGGCGCUGGUGAAGCGUGUUAUACAGGGUGUUCUGAAACGGCACAGUGGAUGUAUCAACUGUUUCCCAGCGUCUCUGACGCUUUAAUUGCAAAGCAUUACCCUCUUUUUCUCUUUUUUCUUUUUUCUUUUUAGCGAGAACACGCACCGAAACUGUUCGAUUAAUUUUUUUUUUCUUUUUUAAUUACAUCAUCGCGAGUAGUUUGAGCGUAAAAAUUUAUUCAACAAAAUUUUCGAGAAAAUUUUUCAGUUUUAAACGUAACGUGAUAUUCCAGGCGAAGAAACGCUUGCAAACAAUUUUUAUAUCCAUUUUGCCGAUAUAUUAUUGACAAAUUUACUUGAAGCGAGAAUGGCACGAAAUUGGAGUUAUGGAUUGCUCAUCGAAAUAAAAACGAAUACACGCGUGAAACCAAAGAUAGAUAUAUAACUAUUACUAUAUAAGUAAAAAUAAUAAGCAUCACGUCUUUUGUUGUAUAAAUGAAACGAUUUUAUGAGAAGAGAAGGCAUUAAUUUAUUACAGAUUCCUAGCGAAAGAACAAUUCUAAAUAAUCAAAAAAACAGGAAUAUCGGAACAAAAAGAAGAUCAUCAACCUUUUCAAAGAAAAAUAAAGAAAUGAAUAUCUUUUGAUUACCAAGGAUUACCAAGGAAGGAUAAAACGGAAGGAAAUUACGAUGGAUCAACAUGGCGGACGAUCCACGCGAAGCCAGCGCUCCUAUGAGGACCAGAAGAAACUUUCGAAGAGGGGGAACGGCCAUGAUAUAUUUUUAUCCCUUUUUUUUUCUUCCCAAUCUCGUAAAUAUUCUCUUGAAGCGGGUAUAUUAGCAAGCGGCACGUUCUUGGCAAGGAGCUGCUGCUAUUGACAGGGCAUUCAUAUUAGAGAACGACCACACGCCAUCCGUUCUUUCUUUUCCGCCACAAUGAAAACGGUAGCGAGCCAUCCUUUUCCGCACUUCUGAACGUGGAACCCAUUGAUUGGUAAUCGUUAAUUACCCCAUAGACAAUUUCCUCGAGGAAGGAACCCUUCCUCUGUUUCGACGAUUACAAAAUAUCACCAUUCUCUGGCCGGUGACCGCGCCAACAGGGGGAGAGGAAGAAGGGAAAGCAGUCAGUGGUGUCAAAAGGGAGGGAGAGAGGAUCGUGGACAAGAACGUAUUGAUCGAGUUAUAGUCUUCAGGGGCUCGAGAGGCUCUAUCCAGAGAGGCUGAUGGGAGCCAAUGAGAGGCACGAAGGGUGAAUUUGGAGCAAGAAUGGCGACCGAAGGUUCCCAUCGAAACGAAUCCCUUGCUAAUGGACGUGUAUGUACAUGUAACGCGUGGAUAUAUGCCUUGAUCUGGCUUAAUCGCCCCUGAAAGUGGUAUAUAUAUAUGAAUACAUAUAUAAGUAUAUAUAUAUAUAUUGAUCUUCGAUCGAGAUUGCUUUUUGCACAAGGUGCUAAAUUAAUGGAUCGAAAGUCUGGGGGAAAGGGUGUUUGAAUUGGUUCGUUUCGAGCGAUUCCGACGAUUCAUUAGAGAAGUAAGAAGAUAAAAUUGAAAAGGAGUUAAUGAGAAAUCUGGAGGCUGAAUUUAAAACGGGCGGAAAGUUCGGGCAGGAAGUUUCUCGACGCUUGCUAAUUAGAUGUUUCGAUCGGCUCUGAAUAUUUUACUCGCUCUCCUAUUCGCGAUCAAAGUUCUGAGCCACUUUGAGGGUUACUGACUUUUAAACUGCUCUAUUCUUUCUAAAAAAAAAACUGGCCGCUAAAUUGAUUGGAAUUUUUACUAUCCGUGCUGUAAAUGGUUCUCUUAAAAACUGAAGAAUUUAUACUUUUGCUGGUUUCGAGAUCGACGAUUUGAAUAUAUAUAUAUAUAUACUAAACGAACCUUAAAAAUUGAUAAUUUUUGGAACAUCAUCAAAUGGAUAAAAAAAUAAAAAAAAUUUUAAAUAUAUCGAAUUGAAUUGAAUAAAUUAUUGAUAAACGUGGAACAAAAAUACAUUUCAUUGAUUAUUUACUUACUUUCAUCGAUAGAAAAAUCGAAGAAAGAAAUCCGAUCGAAACAAUCGCUCCAACAACCGCGAGAAAAUCGAGCAGAAAACGAGAAACCCGCAUAGCAAAUGUAGUUUGAAAAACGAAGAAGGCAAGAGGAGCGGAAAAAGAAGGAUACGUUCUCCAACGGUCAAGCGAUCCUCUCUCACACCAUCCAGUGCCGAUUGAAACCGUCAGAAUACCCGAUAAUAGCGGGGAGCGGUAAGGACCGCGAGGAGAGGAUCCGUGGGGAAAAAAAGAAAAAAAAAGAAAAAAAAAAAGAUCGGAAGAAAAGGAGGAAAAGGAAAAGGAGGGUUCGCGAUAAUUUCCAUCGUCCACAGGGCAUCCCCAGCAGGACGAGGAAGAAACGAUACGUUCUUCCAUUACGACUUUCACGCCAUAAAUCACACGGGCAGCCGGCCAUCGUGCCGAUAGAAUUCCCCAUAAUUCGUGAAUUAUUCGUGAAGAGGAGCGGUUACGAGCGGCACGUAAUAUACGUAUCCCCCUAAGAUCCCCGAAGCGAGGGAUGGAGAUGGCGGCGCCUGCACAGCAGCGCAGGCUGCAGGACAUUAAGGGUAACAAAUGAGGCUGGCUGGUCCUCCCGUAGGACACCUUUCCUACGACUGAGGUGGAAUGAAAAUAAGUGUGCCUCAUAGAUACCUUUUUUUCUUCGUUCCCUCGCAUGACCGACCCUCUCUUUCGCUUCUUCAACUCGACCACUCCCCCUUUCCCUCUGUCCCACGCACUUCUGGCCCAUCUUCUUUUUCCAACCUCCCUUCCCUCCUCCCUUAGGUUGACUCGUUUUUUAAACGAGCCACCGCUUAGCCGAGAAACCGUGACGGAGAUUUAGUGCGCGCGUGUGGAGAACCUUCAUCGUGGAGGCAUCGUCUCCAAGCGCUGAACCGAGGUGGCGUGUCGCCAGCUGCACACAACGUGGGGCCACGUGGAAAUAUUUAGCAGUUAGCCAGGAUUAAGGAAUGCGUUAAUUACGAAAUACUGGGCUGCUUCGGUCUAUUAAGCAGAAAUGUAAUUUUCCCCGCUUAAUUGCUCAACGCCGAUCCCUUAAUCUCGCUCUUGAUUAAUCGGAACUUACGUCGUUACGUAGUAAAAAGGGAAUAGGAAAGAGGUGGGCUUGUUAGUUAGCACGAUCUAUCUAUCUUUGCGUAUAAAAUCAUUUUGAUCGUGAAAAUUAUCUAUGCGUUAUCAUCGGUUCGAUAUUUGACUUUAUUAAAUAUUGUAAUUGCGUUCGAAAUUGUUUCACGUGUGUUCACUGUCUGAACGAUUUGUUGAUGAUUUGAAUGAUGUUUGUAUUGUUUCUAUAUACAGAUAAUUUAUAGUUAGGUGAGAUAAAAUGUAUAAGAUGUAGAUUCGAAAGUUACAAAUUCGAGAUCAUUUUUCUAUUGGUUUAAACAAAUUGCAAAUUGGAUAUUUUAUUUAAAGAAUAGAAAUUUAAAUGUUUGGCAAUUUAAAAAGUUCAUGUUGAAAAUUAUCGAUAACACAUAUAUAUAAUAAUUUUUACAAAAAUUUAUAAAUUGUAUCGUACGAAGUAUUGUUCAUCAGAGUGCUAAUACUUAAAUUUUAUAGCAUUAAAAGAAAACUUUUCUGCGCAUUACAUUAAGUUAAUAAUCGGAAUAUUCAAAUAUAAUAAAAAAAAAUAUCACAAAGAUUACUGGAAACACAUAUAAGAAUGGGACAACAAAAAGAUUAGAAAUGUUCUGUAUUUAAAUUAUUUUAAAAUCAAUAAAUAAAGAAAAUUUAAGAACUCUAUUUUAGAAUAAAUUUUAAUAAGUUAAAAAGAAAAUGCAUAGAAUCAUAUGGAAGUUAUUUCGAUCACGAUUCAAAAAAGAAUUAUUUAAAAGGAAUAAUUUAUAUCUAUCAAUUUAAAUUUAUUCAAAUCUUCAACUAUCUCAAAAUAUUUUAUCUACUGCCUCUGCAAAAACUUGCACGCCAUUGUAUUUAUUAUAAAAUUUAAAUGUUAAUUAAUUAAAUUUAAAUACAUUACAUUUCAUAUCAUCUGAUAAUCUUUUAUAAGUACGAAAAUGAGAUCCAAAAAUAUCUAGAAAAAAAAGAAACAUUUAAAAACUACAUUUUAUGGUCAAUGUAUUUUAAUUUUUCGACAAAAAUUUAACAAUUAUUAAUCAAAAUCAAGAAACCCCUUGGCAAAACCACCCCUACAAGAGAAGCGGUCUCGAUCAACGAUAAAAUAAUGAAUAAAACUGCUGGAAGGGAACGGUAUAAUAAUGUAAGCAGCGAGCAACGUUGUUUCAGAAAAAAAAAAGUCUAAAAUGAAAAUCUCGACACGGCUAAUUGGUAAACAGUUGCGAGGCAGCGGGGGGUCCUUCGCGGAAGAGGAACAAAAGAAGAACACGGCGGCGAGGAAAUAUUUUCUCGAUUAUUACCAGGGAUUAAGAAGUCCAGUAACUGCAAAAUACUGCGUCUUUCUUUUUUUUCUUUCCUUUUUUUUUUUUUUUUUUCAUUAUUAUGCGGGAAACAGGGCAAGCCUGUAGAACGUGGUGGUCGGCUUUUGUUGAUUGGACGAAAGCGUGGCUUCCGCCCGCCAGCGUGCAUGCGCGAGCGGGGGGCCGAGGAGCGCGUGUACAAGUGUAAAAGAAAGAAGACGAGCGUGUGUAUACGAGCGACCGAUGUGCGAUUGAUGCGACACGAACUAUCGAGAGGAAUGAAUUUGUGUCGACGGUCCUGCGAAAGAAUGCCACAGGUUGACGCCGGGGGAAAAUCGGUCUCGCGGUCUCUGAGCCCGAUACAGAGACCUCGAUCCGUGUAUUCGAACGCGACAGUGUAGUAGAUUGAAAGGAAUCGUAGCAAUUCAUUCGAUUAUAAUAAUUGUAUGAUUUUUUUUCUCGUUUCGUUUCUUUUUUCUGAAGCAUUUUUUAAAUUUUGUCACCGAUAAUUUAAAUUGUACUUUGAAAAUUGUAAUUCAUAAACGAUGUUAUUAAAUAUAAAACUUUGUACUUUGUCAA
This is a long non-coding RNA of Apis cerana (Asiatic honeybee), 9260 nucleotides long. RefSeq lists it as uncharacterized. The record is from RefSeq and is a predicted model, not a curated record. Lineage: Eukaryota; Metazoa; Arthropoda; Insecta; Hymenoptera; Apidae.